RNAcentral lists this ribosomal RNA (164 nucleotides) under uncultured Shewanella sp. RNAcentral describes it as "partial 16S ribosomal RNA". It matches the Rfam family "Bacterial small subunit ribosomal RNA", at positions 338 to 494 of the family's 1533-position model. The record is from RNAcentral. Lineage: Bacteria; Pseudomonadati; Pseudomonadota; Gammaproteobacteria; Alteromonadales; Shewanellaceae.
CCUACGGGAGGCAGCAGUGGGGAAUAUUGCACAAUGGGCGCAAGCCUGAUGCAGCCAUGCCGCGUGUGUGAAGAAGGCCUUCGGGUUGUAAAGCACUUUCAGUAGGGAGGAAAGGGUGAGUCUUAAUACGGCUCAUCUGUGACGUUACCUACAGAAGAAAUGGC